UGUCAGAAGUUAACAGUCCUAACAGUUUGCAUCAUGGCCUGGAAUGUGCUUCUCUUCAGCCUCCUCACUCAGGGCACAGUUUCCUGGGCCCAGUCAGCCCUGACUCAACCGUCCUCAGUGUCUGGAGCUCAGGGAAAGACUGUCACCAUCUCCUGUGCAGGAACCAGCAAUGACAUUGGAAGGUAUAAUGAUGUCUCCUGGUACCAACAGGAGCCAGACAGGCGUCCCAAACUGCUGAUUUAUGAUGUCAGUAACCGGGCCUCAGGGGUCCCUGAUCGCUUCUCUGGCUCCAAGUCAGGCAACACAGCCUCGCUGACCAUCUCUGGGUUGCAGCCUGAGGACGAGGCUGACUAUCACUGUAGUUCAUAUGCAGGCAGUAACACUUUUGUGUUCGGCGGAGGGACGAGGCUGACCGUCACAGGUGGGCCCAAGUCAGCACCCUCAGUCACACUGUUCCCACCAUCCACUGAGGAACUCAGCACCAACAAGGCCACACUGGUGUGUCUCAUCAGUGACUUCUACCCUGGCAGUGUGACUGUGGGCUGGAAGGAAGAUGGCACCACCAUCACCAAAGGAGUGCAGACCACCAAGCCCUCCAAGCAGAGCAACAGCAAGUACGCAGCCAGCAGCUACCUGAGCCUGACAGCCAGUGACUGGAAAUCUCAUAGCUCAUACAGCUGCCAGGUGACGCAUGAAGGCAGCACCGUGGAGAAGACAGUGAGCCCCAGCUGAGUGUGAAGUCCCAGGCCCUCCUCGCCCCAAAACUUGAGGAUGGCUACACAGGACCCUGGGUGGGUCUCUCCUUCCACCUUAACCAUCCCCACCUCAUCUGCCUGGAUUCAACCAACUCUCAAUAAAAUGUCCUCACUUUAA
Non-coding RNA from Erinaceus europaeus (western European hedgehog), 873 nucleotides. The record is from the annotation of a RefSeq genome assembly. Lineage: Eukaryota; Metazoa; Chordata; Mammalia; Eulipotyphla; Erinaceidae.